UGACCGCCAGGGGGCGUGCCCGCUGGCGCAAGGCAGAGCCUUGGACACGUGACCACCGGCUGGCCCUCCAGCUGUACUGCCCCGGGCCCUGGCGGCGGUUACAAUGGGGCGGGGCUUGGGUAACAACCAUAGGUAGGGAGCACGUGGAGGAGAAAGCAGUGGCCACUGGAGGCUGGGGAGGUGACCUAGGGGCCCAGGUGGCAGGAGGGCCAGGCCUUUGAGGCCCUUGGAGGGCGCACUCUAGAAUUCUUGGUGAGUCAAAGGAUGCAUUAGAAUCAGAGCAUUUGGAAACAAAUGAGCCUUUAAGAGACUUGAGCUCAAAAGGAAAAUUUCUUGAUUUGGAUCAAAGCGGUUCCGAGGAACCAGAGAUUAGUUUCCCUGAAACACAGCCCUCAAGUGAGCUUGGGGACAAAAUCGACCAGAUGCCUCAGGAUGAACUGGGACGGGAAAGGAGAGAGGAAAAAAGAUGAUCAGACUUAAGUGAGCGAGGAGAGGAAGAAUUCCAGUCCAAAGCAGAGAUCCCGGAGAAAUCACUGGUGUCUACCAGCGAGGACAUACUGUUUCGAAAGGAUGACCGCGCCAACAUGUAUCCUUCGUUCAGUUCAGUGCUCUGGAGGGACAUGUGUGACAGGAGUGCUGCCUCUGGGCCUGACAUCUGGGUCAGACAGUGUUGCUCCCCAGGCAGGAAAUUCCAGACGUGGUUUGUCUGUUACAUAGGGUGCCCUUUCUUGUGGGAGACUCAAGGACAAUCUCUCCCUCUCCUCCCCAUUCCCCUUCUUUCUCACUUCGUCCUCCUGCUCCUCCAUUCCUUUCCCCUUUCCCUCCUCUCCUCACCUCUUCUGCCUUAGAUGGCUUGAUACCUCUUCACAAGCUCCUAAAACCAUUACGGGCUCCUAAAACUGCACAUUCAGAGACGGACCAGAAAGCAAAAG
This is a long non-coding RNA of Lutra lutra (Eurasian river otter), 932 nucleotides long. RefSeq lists it as uncharacterized. NCBI's taxonomy places the organism in Eukaryota, Metazoa, Chordata, Mammalia, Carnivora, Mustelidae. The transcript is spliced from 3 exons. The record is from RefSeq and is a predicted model, not a curated record.